Molecule: long non-coding RNA, 249 nt
Organism: Epinephelus fuscoguttatus (brown-marbled grouper)
Lineage: Eukaryota; Metazoa; Chordata; Actinopteri; Perciformes; Serranidae
Exons: 3
Source: RefSeq, a predicted model, not a curated record
AUUGGCACAAGUGGUGAGAGGCACGUUAACUUCUGGAGACAUCAUUUUCCUAUGAACACUGCAUUGUUAUUUAAAGUCCAGGAUAUGAGAAUGCAAUACUGCCAUGAGCGCAUGUUGUCAAAAAGUGAGAAGCUGCUUGAAUAACCUGGCACGAGUGUGGGAUGACCAUGGACCCACAAUGGAGGGAAUCAGUGAUGAAGACUCAGUUGUUAUGCUUUGCUGUGAGGAAGCAGAGGACUCUCCAUCAAC